Molecule: ribosomal RNA, 120 nt
Filed under: Acinetobacter baumannii
Lineage: Bacteria; Pseudomonadati; Pseudomonadota; Gammaproteobacteria; Moraxellales; Moraxellaceae
Description: partial 16S ribosomal RNA
Rfam family: Bacterial small subunit ribosomal RNA
Source: RNAcentral
UUAAAUUGAAGAGUUUGAUCAUGGCUCAGAUUGAACGCUGGCGGCAGGCUUAACACAUGCAAGUCGAGCGGUAGCACAGAGAGCUUGCUCUCGGGUGACGAGCGGCGGACGGGUGAGUAA